This 497-nucleotide ribosomal RNA is filed under the name Sulfitobacter sp. Ar-117. Its description in RNAcentral is "bacterial SSU rRNA". It matches the Rfam family "Bacterial small subunit ribosomal RNA", at positions 64 to 609 of the family's 1533-position model. The record is from RNAcentral. Lineage: Bacteria; Pseudomonadati; Pseudomonadota; Alphaproteobacteria; Rhodobacterales; Roseobacteraceae.
GAGCGCACCUUCGGGUGAGCGGCGGACGGGUUAGUAACGCGUGGGAACAUACCCUUUUCUACGGAAUAGCCUCGGGAAACUGAGAGUAAUACCGUAUAAGCCCUUCGGGGGAAAGAUUUAUCGGGAAAGGAUUGGCCCGCGUUAGAUUAGAUAGUUGGUGGGGUAAUGGCCUACCAAGUCUACGAUCUAUAGCUGGUUUUAGAGGAUGAUCAGCAACACUGGGACUGAGACACGGCCCAGACUCCUACGGGAGGCAGCAGUGGGGAAUCUUAGACAAUGGGCGCAAGCCUGAUCUAGCCAUGCCGCGUGUGUGAUGAAGGUCUUAGGAUCGUAAAGCACUUUCGCCAGGGAUGAUAAUGACAGUACCUGGUAAAGAAACCCCGGCUAACUCCGUGCCAGCAGCCGCGGUAAUACGGAGGGGGUUAGCGUUGUUCGGAAUUACUGGGCGUAAAGCGUACGUAGGCGGAUUGGAAAGUUGGGGGUGAAAUCCCAGGGCU